GGGGUGGAGAUAAAGGUCACGGCUAAGGACGGUUAGCAUUCUCUUUGUGAAUUGGCCCUUCAGCAGGUCGAACGCCAUCUCUCUCUCUCUCUCUCGCUCUCUCUCACCUCCCGUAAAUCCACAGCUGUUCUUAUCGGACUGCAGCUCAAACUGUGACACAGGGACAACUGUUUCGGUCAGUGGGUACACCAGGAAGAGUUGCGGUUAUUCUCCUUUUCUUCCAGAAUGUUCUGUUUGCAACACAGGAUGCCGCCGAUCGGACUACUGUGUGGUGCAGUAGUCAUAAAACCUGUCAUAAAGCCGCAGUCCUGCUGGGACUGAAGGCUCCCGUCCAUGUGUCACGUUGGCGUGCUUAUCUGCAAACUAAUCAAGCCGUUAUCACCCUGCUUUAAUAGGCUGUUAUCCUGUUUGGACUAAAGCAUUGCGUUCCUAUCUCUGUGUGCCGGUGCGAUCGAAGCUCUGAGUCACUGCGCCUGGGCGGGUCAGUCAGCGCCCGUUCCCCGGGAUGACAUCAUCGGCCCAAAAUAGCAGCGGCUGUGAUGCAGCGCCGCCGUGAGAGCGCGAGCGCGAGCGCGAGGACCGGCCGAACGACAGAGCGCCGCGAGGGAAGAGGAGGAGAAACGGAGACAGUUGACGGACAGCCGCUCCGCAACCAAUCUCCCAAACCCAUUGAAGCCCUGGGCAGGUAGCUGCUGGAGAUGGUGAACUCCUGGAGGUCCUGGAGCUCAUCCAGCUGUAUAAAGCAGACUCAAAUAUGUCAGAGAUGAGCCGAGUGGGUCAAACAGUGGCACCGGGGGCCCAGGGACCUGUGAACCGCACCUGCAAACGGAACGGAGCGGAAUCCCAUAAUCAGGCUGGGACCCUGGAUCACCUACUUUAUCCUGGAGUGAGGGGUGUGGCCAGGGGAAUGUUUAGUUGUCUUAUAUACAGACAUGCCUGGACAGUGCUUAUGUAAUGUCUGCUCUGGCUGGAUGUUUCUGGCAUAAAAAUGUGGAGACAAAUUAUCUAAAACAUUUGUGUGGAACCCAAGGGUCUCAGAUAUUUGGCUGGCUUUAUGAGUUUCCAUGGAAACAGUCUACAGACCAAUAAAAUAGAUAUUUGUGGCGUUCCUCAGGAUAUGUAUGGAUCUCCAGCAUUCCCAUGAACCUGCAUGACUCUCCAGCAUUCCCAUGAAUCCGCAUGGCUCUACAGCAUUCCCAUGAAUCCGCAUGGAUCUCCAGCAUUCCCAUGAAUCCGCAUGGAUCUCCAGCAUUCCCAUGAAUCUGCAUGGAUCUCCAGCAUUCCCAUGAACCUGCAUGGCUCUCCAGCAUUCCCAUGGCUCUACAGCAUUCCCAUGAACCUGCAUGGUUCUCCAGCAUUCCCAUGAAUCUGCAUGGCUCUCCAGCAUUCCCAUGAACCUGCAUGGUUCUCCAGCAUUCCCAUGAACCUGCAUGGCUCUCCAGCAUUCCCAUGAAUCUACAUGGCUCUCCAGCAUUCCCAUGAACCUGCAUGGCUCUACAGCAUUCCCAUGAAUCUGCAUGGCUCUCCAGCAUUCCUAUGGCUCUACAGCAUUCCCAUGAACCUGCAUGGCUCUCCAGCAUUCCCAUGAACCUGCAUGGUUCUCCAGCAUUCCCAUGAAUCUGCAUGGUUCUCCAGCAUUCCCAUGAACCUGCAUGGUUCUCCAGCAUUCCCAUGAACCUGCAUGUUUCUCCAGC
This is a long non-coding RNA of Anguilla anguilla (European eel), 1694 nucleotides long. RefSeq lists it as uncharacterized. The record is from RefSeq and is a predicted model, not a curated record. NCBI's taxonomy places the organism in Eukaryota, Metazoa, Chordata, Actinopteri, Anguilliformes, Anguillidae. The transcript is spliced from 5 exons.